UACAGAGGGUGCGAGCGUUGUCCGGAAUUACUGGGCGUAAAGCGUGCGCAGGCGGUGAUGUAAGACCGAUGUGAAAUCCCCGGGCUUAACCUGGGAACUGCAUUGGUGACUGCAUCGCUCGAGUAUGGCAGAGGGGGGUAGAAUUCCACGUGUAGCAGUGAAAUGCGUAGAGAUGUGGAGGAAUACCGAUGGCGAAGGCAGCCCCCUGGGUCAAUACUGACGCUCAUGCACGAAAGCGUGGGGAGCAAACAGG
This 253-nucleotide ribosomal RNA is filed under the name uncultured bacterium. RNAcentral describes it as "partial 16S ribosomal RNA". It matches the Rfam family "Bacterial small subunit ribosomal RNA", at positions 524 to 776 of the family's 1533-position model. The record is from RNAcentral.